AGAGUUUGAUCAUGGCUCAGAUUGAACGCUGGCGGCAGGCCUAACACAUGCAAGUCGAACGGUAACAGGAAGCAGCUUGCUGCUUCGCUGACGAGUGGCGGACGGGUGAGUAAUGUCUGGGAAACUGCCUGAUGGAGGGGGAUAACUACUGGAAACGGUGGCUAAUACCGCAUAACGUCGCAAGACCAAAGAGGGGGACCUUCGGGCCUCUUGCCAUCAGAUGUGCCCAGAUGGGAUUAGCUUGUUGGUGAGGUAACGGCUCACCAAGGCGACGAUCCCUAGCUGGUCUGAGAGGAUGACCAGCCACACUGGAACUGAGACACGGUCCAGACUCCUACGGGAGGCAGCAGUGGGGAAUAUUGCACAAUGGGCGCAAGCCUGAUGCAGCCAUGCCGCGUGUAUGAAGAAGGCCUUCGGGUUGUAAAGUACUUUCAGCGGGGAGGAAGGUGUUGUGGUUAAUAACCACAGCAAUUGACGUUACCCGCAGAAGAAGCACCGGCUAACUCCGUGCCAGCAGCCGCGGUAAUACGGAGGGUGCAAGCGUUAAUCGGAAUUACUGGGCGUAAAGCGCACGCAGGCGGUCUGUCAAGUCGGAUGUGAAAUCCCCGGGCUCAACCUGGGAACUGCAUUCGAAACUGGCAGGCUUGAGUCUUGUAGAGGGGGGUAGAAUUCCAGGUGUAGCGGUGAAAUGCGUAGAGAUCUGGAGGAAUACCGGUGGCGAAGGCGGCCCCCUGGACAAAGACUGACGCUCAGGUGCGAAAGCGUGGGGAGCAAACAGGAUUAGAUACCCUGGUAGUCCACGCCGUAAACGAUGUCUACUUGGAGGUUGUGCCCUUGAGGCGUGGCUUCCGGAGCUAACGCGUUAAGUAGACCGCCUGGGGAGUACGGCCGCAAGGUUAAAACUCAAAUGAAUUGACGGGGGCCCGCACAAGCGGUGGAGCAUGUGGUUUAAUUCGAUGCAACGCGAAGAACCUUACCUGGUCUUGACAUCCACAGAACUUUCCAGAGAUGGAUUGGUGCCUUCGGGAACUGUGAGACAGGUGCUGCAUGGCUGUCGUCAGCUCGUGUUGUGAAAUGUUGGGUUAAGUCCCGCAACGAGCGCAACCCUUAUCCUUUGUUGCCAGCGGUUAGGCCGGGAACUCAAAGGAGACUGCCAGUGAUAAACUGGAGGAAGGUGGGGAUGACGUCAAGUCAUCAUGGCCCUUACGACCAGGGCUACACACGUGCUACAAUGGCGCAUACAAAGAGAAGCGACCUCGCGAGAGCAAGCGGACCUCAUAAAGUGCGUCGUAGUCCGGAUUGGAGUCUGCAACUCGACUCCAUGAAGUCGGAAUCGCUAGUAAUCGUGGAUCAGAAUGCCACGGUGAAUACGUUCCCGGGCCUUGUACACACCGCCCGUCACACCAUGGGAGUGGGUUGCAAAAGAAGUAGGUAGCUUAACCUUCGGGAGGGCGCUUACCACUUUGUGAUUCAUGACUGGGGUGAAGUCGUAACAAGGUAACCGUAGGGGAACCUGCGGUUGGAUCACCUCCUU
Molecule: ribosomal RNA, 1534 nt
Filed under: Salmonella enterica subsp. enterica serovar Schwarzengrund str. CVM19633
Lineage: Bacteria; Pseudomonadati; Pseudomonadota; Gammaproteobacteria; Enterobacterales; Enterobacteriaceae
Description: bacterial SSU rRNA
Rfam family: Bacterial small subunit ribosomal RNA
Source: RNAcentral